RNAcentral lists this long non-coding RNA (488 nucleotides) under Cucumis sativus (cucumber). RNAcentral describes it as "long non-coding RNA (CSAT_LNC000988)". The record is from RNAcentral. Lineage: Eukaryota; Viridiplantae; Streptophyta; Magnoliopsida; Cucurbitales; Cucurbitaceae.
AAGAGAUGAAAGUACCGAUACAGAAUCAAGACCUAAUAAUAAUGCUGAAGCAGUACAGGAAGCCAAGGCCAGUGUCGAUAUGGAAGAAAGAGAUGAAAAUACUGGUACAGAAUUAAGACCUUUCAAUAAUGCUGAAUCUGUACAAAAAGCCAAGGCCAGCGACAAUAUGGAAGAAAGAGAUGAAAAUACUGAUACAGAAUCAAGACCUAAUAAUAAUCCUGAAGCCGUACAAGAGGCCAUGGCCAGCGACAAUAUGGAAGAAAGAGAUGAAAGUACUGGUACAGAAUCAAGACCUAAUAAUAAUGCUGAAGCUGUACAAGAAGCCAAGGCCAGUGACAAUAUGAAAGAAAGAGAUGAAAAUACUGUUACAGAAUCAAGACCAAAUAAUAAUGCUGAAGCCGCACAAGAAGGCAAGGCCAGUGACAAUAUGGAAGAAAGAGAUGAAAAUACAGAUACAGAAUCAAGACCUAAUAAAAUUGCUGAAGCCG